This 125-nucleotide small RNA is filed under the name Marmota monax (woodchuck). Lineage: Eukaryota; Metazoa; Chordata; Mammalia; Rodentia; Sciuridae. The record is from RNAcentral.
GCUGGGUGUGGUGGUGCACACCUGUAAUCCCAGUGACUCGGGAGGCUGAGACAGGAGGAUCAAAAGUCUGAGGCCAGCCUCAGCAACUUAGAGAGGGCCUCAGCCACUUAGUGAGGCUGUCUUAA